This 159-nucleotide non-coding RNA is filed under the name Thalassobaculum litoreum DSM 18839. RNAcentral describes it as "6S / SsrS RNA". It matches the Rfam family "6S / SsrS RNA". Rfam says of the family: E. coli 6S RNA was the first non coding RNA to be sequenced, but its function was unknown until recently. It consists of 184 nucleotides that fold into an extended hairpin structure with a large single-stranded internal bulge. The record is from Rfam by way of RNAcentral. Lineage: Bacteria; Pseudomonadati; Pseudomonadota; Alphaproteobacteria; Rhodospirillales; Thalassobaculaceae.
ACGGGGCGGCGCGGUUUGUCAGGCCGCACUUUACCCCUGGGGCUAUAAUCUCUCUGAGGGAGCUGCCUCUUUCGGGACCGUGGUCUCGGAAUCGCGGCGCCCACCUGCUAUGCAGGCCACAGAGGGUAUGCAAAUGCCAACGGCCGAGGCGGCUCCGUC